This is a long non-coding RNA of Esox lucius (northern pike), 1081 nucleotides long. NCBI's taxonomy places the organism in Eukaryota, Metazoa, Chordata, Actinopteri, Esociformes, Esocidae. The record is from Ensembl.
UGUGACUGAAGGGACCACAAUACAUUUCAAGUGUCAAACUAAUAACAUCACUAUAAGCGGGGACAUGGUUCAUUUUUACCUUUGCAAGGAUGGAGUUGGGAUACAAAUGGCACCAAUGAAGAAAGGUGCUGAAUCUGUUUUCUUGUUAAAAGAAGUAAAAAAACAAGACUCGGGCAAGUACAGCUGUGUGUACAGCAUAUGUAAACACCCAAUUAGCCAAGUGAAGUCAACAGGGGAUUAUCUGGUCUUACGGGUCAACGGAGUUGAAGAUGUGGAAGUUGGGGUGCAAGGAAAUGAAGAAAUAGAGAAUCUGGACUUAAAGUGCAAGCUGGGCUGUAUUCUCAGCAUAAUGCAAGGAGACAACAUGCAACUCUGCGUGCCUGGCCAACAUCUCCACUUAGAUGAUGGCCCACCACCUCAAGCUUAACCUUGACAAGAAUGGCACCUCUUCGGAAAUUGUGGGGGACCUAUAAAUCCCAAUACUCCAUCAUAACAGAUUAGGGAGUGCUCAUUUAUUGACAAUAAAGAACAGCAUUUUCCGGGAUAGAAUUGUGUUGAGGAAUAGAUCUGGGGAAGGUUAUAAAACAAUUGCUAAAGCAUUGACAUUUCUCAGAAAAACUCCAUCAUUGUGAAAUGUAAAAUGUUUGGAACCACAAAAACACUUCCUAGAGCUGGCUGUCCGACCAAACAAAGUAACUGAGCAUAAAGGACGUUGGUGAGGAAGGGGACCAAGAAGUAAACUGCCCCGCUAACAAAGCUUGGGUGGCUGACCAUAGUUCCAUGAGCAGCACACUAUUCAAUAAAUCAAACAGAAAUUACAAGAUCCCUAGUCAACGACUGUAUGUUUUGUGAUUCUUUUUAGUUCUCCAAACAACCUUGGAUUGUUCUCUGAGCUUCACCGUUUUGACAGUGGUACAGAAAGCAGAGUGUUCUGUUUUCUUUUCCUCAAACCCUGUUGACUGGCCAUUGAUUCCCUGUAGGCAACUGGGUAUCAACUUAUCACACGUGAAAUAAAUAACCCAGGAGAUAUUUCUGUUACUUACAGGUUAACACAUUGGAAAUACAUAUUGUAUUACUUUAC